GUGAGUCAUCGAAUCUUUGAACGCACAUUGCGCCCUGUGGUAUUCCGCAGGGCAUGCCUGUUCGAGCGUCAGUACAACACUCAAGCUCAGCUUGGUAUUGAGCCACGUCCGCGAGGGCCGGCUUUAAAAUCAGUGGCGGCGCCAUCUGGCUCUAAGCGUAGUAAUACUCCUCGCUAUUGAGUCCUGGUGGAUGCUGGCCAGCAACCCCCAACUUUCAAGUUUGACCUCGGAUCAGGUAGGGAUACCCGCUGAACUUAAGCAUAUCAAUAAGCGGAGGA
This 278-nucleotide unclassified non-coding RNA is filed under the name Xenochalara sp. RNAcentral describes it as "partial contains 5.8S ribosomal RNA, internal transcribed spacer 2, and large subunit ribosomal RNA". The stretch from base 1 to 71 matches the Rfam family "5.8S ribosomal RNA", at positions 84 to 154 of the family's 154-position model. Lineage: Eukaryota; Fungi; Ascomycota; Leotiomycetes; Helotiales; Dermateaceae. The record is from RNAcentral.